Long non-coding RNA from Manis pentadactyla (Chinese pangolin), 872 nucleotides. RefSeq lists it as uncharacterized. The transcript is spliced from 4 exons. The record is from RefSeq and is a predicted model, not a curated record. NCBI's taxonomy places the organism in Eukaryota, Metazoa, Chordata, Mammalia, Pholidota, Manidae.
CCUCUCUUCAGGCCCCUGGUGGGGUCCCACCUCCAGCUCCCUCCACGCCUUCGGCUUGCCAAGCUGGUCACCGUCACACGUGGGCUCCGAGUGACCUCAUCAUUGGCUCAGAAGUUGGGAGGAGCCUGUUUAUCAUGGGGCUCCCGACCCCAGGAAGGCCCCCAGCAAGACCAGGCUUUCUGCUGCCAGCCAAAUGAGCAGGAAGAAACCGUCCUUCUCCGGCAUCCCAGCAGCAGUCCUGGGCUUGGUGCUCCCUGCUCUGCCUGGGACCACAUGCCCAUCCCUGACCAAUCGCUCUGGCCAGUGGUCUGAAAAAGGACUGCCCUGAUGUGCCUACCUUUGGAGCAAGAGGACAGCGACCUAGGGGUCACAUAAGAACAGCCACCGGGAGGAACAGCGGGUGGCACAGCAAAAUCAUCAAGAUUUUUUACAUAUGUGGCCCCCAACUCCAUCCCUUCACCUCCAUUUGAGAACCUGGACUUCCCGAAGAAGCAGGAACAUUCAAGGCAGAAACUCAAGCAGGAGCCACUUUCUCUUCUUGGUGCACAGAAGGGCCAGAGGACCUCGUGACAGUCCCGGCCUGGACCUGGUUCUGCUUCACGGAGAUCAGCGGAGGGUGCUCCUGGGCCCACAAGCACCUGCUCUGGAGUGAGGCCUGCAGAUGUGGGACCCCGGAUUCUGCUGCAUUCUGGCUGUGUGGCCUUGGACAAAGGAUUGCACCUCUCUGUGAAAUUGCCUCAGAUGUAAAACGUAUGAAGGUAGCUUCUAUUGCAUAAAAUGGUUGUGAGUAUUAAACGAGCUAAUACAGAAAAAGUGCAUAGAACGUUGCUUGGAACCCAGCAAGCUCUCAAUAAAUGUUACCACUACUGCUA